CUUUGAUUUUCCAGCUGCUGCCUAGCGUCUCCCACACGAAGAACAUUACCUUUGUGUGGCCAGGAGCCGAGAUGCAGUCUGAAUGUGCACGGCGGCUUCUGACGUGGCAGCAUGAAUUCUCAGCUGGGCAGAGCCUGAGAGAGAUCAUCAUGGAUGCGGCUUUUAACAAUUUGGGGGGAAAAAGAAAAAGAAAAUGACAGCCUGUGGAGACAGCGAUUUGAGGAAGCAGCACAUUGAGGUUAUUGCCAAUUUGAAAUACUGGGUUUGUGAAUCCAAGCCCUAAGGGAGUAGCCGGGUAACUGAGAAAGAGAUCGCAGAUAAAGAAAUAAAAAUGACAGGCGUAAUGGAGGCUCUGCGACGGGACUGUCAGAGCGUCAGUUCAUGGAUGGCAAUCUCGCCAGGCGGAGAUUGAAUAAUUCAUAGACGGAAACUACCCUGCCUUCACCUUCCCAUUUAAACCAGGCACGAGCUGAAUCUCUAAUAAAUUUUCAAGAUAAAGUAAAAUGCCAAUUUGAAUCUGAAGAGCUUUUAAAAGCAGAUGUCGCCUGCAUCCCCGAAUCUUUCGGUAUCUUUUCACAAUUAUGCUCUGAGGAGCGCACUUCAUCAGGAAGCACCAUUACCAGGGAAAAUGACUGUGAUUACAAUAGCAACAAUGGGAUGCCAUCGAGUGAUCUCUAAUUUACCUAAUUUGCUAAGACUGACUGGCUUAAAUACCCAUUGUGUGUUGCCAUGCCCCGUCCAAGGAUCUAUCUCAAGACAGAACAAAAGUGGCAUGGUGUGUGUGCUACCUUGAUUCACACAGAGUCUAGGGUUCAGCAGUCUCCUAAGUUACAAUGUCUCUGUCAUCUGCUUUUCAUUUUUGUCAGGGUUUUGCCUUUUUUUUUUCUUCAGUGCUUAGCCCUAAAUGCCUUUUGAGGGGGAAAAUGGCAAACCUAUCUUUGCUACAGAACAGUCUGAGUUGUUAAUUUAUACAUUAAAAAAAAUUUAAACUAUACAAGCAUGUGUCUGUUUAAGGGGAGGAGUGAUUCAGUGCUGGAAGAAAGGUUUAACAAGCCAACUGCGAUGGUGUGUGUGUGUGCGUGUGUGUGUGUGUGUGUGUGUGUGUGUGUGUGUGUGUGUGUUUCCUCCAUAUGAAAUUCUUUCCCAGGAUUUGCGAUCCCUGUGGUAUUUUAAGAACCUCUCCAACUGCAAAUCUCAGGUAGCAGAGCCAGAAAUCACUCCCUGUAGCUCUGUCACAAAGACUGUGUGCCUCGUUCCACGAUGCGUCAAGGCUUUUAGGCUGCGUGGCUGUGUUUGUGCCUGCUCAGGGUGCAGAAGUCCGUGCUAGGGAGAACUUUUUGUCUGGCAGACUGCACCACUCAUCUCAAGGUGAAUGUGCCAUUCUGAGGAGGUGGCACGGACUAUCCAUCCUUCCUGGGGAACAGAGCGGAAUCAUUUAGCAGACAUGGGGGCUUCUGGAAUUGUCCUUCUAAUAUCCUGGAGACAGCACUUGGUUCAUGCCAAACAGCAAUGCCUUUGCGUUUGAAUAUUUCAGGGAGGGACCAGAGGUAUGUAUGGCAGCCGUUUGAGAAGAAGGUCCCAAAUCCCUCUCUCAAAACCUUGGGAUUUUGCUUGAGACUCAGCCUUGAUGUGUUCCUUUUUAAUCAUUCACCUGAUUUACCCCCUCCUGUAUGUUUCCCCUGCCUUCCCCUACCUUGUCAUAAGGUAAGUUGUGUUUCUAGUCAUUUAUAUAGUAAGUGUGGAUGUUCCUUAUCAUCUCAUGUUAGUGGGAACAUGCUUCUGAUCAUGUCUCACUAUGCUGGGGCAAACUCAGAACUUCACAUUUCUGUUUUCUGAGCACAAGUUAAAAUGUGGCAUUUUUGAAGCGUGGCUUAAAUAUUGUUUUGUUUUUCUGGCUGAGGACAUCCAAGGUUUUAAUAGCAUUUAAAGGAAAUGGGGGAAACAGUUUUAUGCAGUGAGCACUUGGCUUAAGAGCAGUUAGCAGUCUGAUGGCCACUUCUGUUACCACAUUGCUUUCUGGGGUGGCCUGGUUUUCUGACAUUGGCCCCCCUUGCUACUGCUCCAGAAAGAGGGCUCUACUACGAAUGACACCAGAAGAAGUGGAAGUCCACACUGCACCAAUGCCAGCAUUUCCUUCCUUUUCUGUAGUUAAAGCACAGUGCUGCUUAUCAGCAAAGGUUUAACUUCUGGCACUUUCCAUGUUUUUAAUAGCCAGAGUUUGAGCAGGGUAAUCACUGAGUGAGCCAAUUGGUUUUUCUCUCCAAUAUUUGAGUAAUACAAAUACCUUCAAAUUAUCAAAGAGUGAAUGGAAAUCAUGUUUUGUUAUUUGGGGAGACUCAUCACAAUCUAAUUUUAGGUGUUGGGUAAGAAUAGCAAGUUAGGAGCUUAUUUUUUUUAACGAUGAAAUGAUUUAGAUUAUCAUAGUUUUGGAAGAUGAGGGUGUGUUUGGUUUCUUUUGGCUGUGGGUACAAGAAUAUUAGUGUUUGUAUAUAAUAUCUGUAAGACUCCUUACAGAGUGCCGGGGCUUGCCAACAAUGGCACUUCCCUUUGCUUUGCCUGUCAGAAUGUAGGGCUGCAGAGGCACUUAAAGAUUUUAGACACUACUAUUACUUUGAAAUCACCUUUUUCCCCCACAAACUUACUGAAAUGAUUAAGUAUAGUGACCAUUUAAGAAAAGACAUAAGUUCCUCAGGUAAUUUUUAAUCCACUAUUGACAAUUUUUCAUUAUCAUAGAUACUCCUCAUUUGCAAUGUUCUAGAUAUAGAUGAAUCAGCAAGAGAGAUGAUGAGGGCAACUUUAUAGCCACCAACAACUGAAAACAAGGCGUCACUGUGAAAAUAUACAAGCAUGGAUUAAUUUAGGUGAACCCUAUGACAAGGAAUGGCUCCACUUUACAUUUCAGUUUUUGUUCAGAUUUUUAGAAACCUACUAUGGUGGUUGUUUAUAUUUUUAUGAGCAUAAAACAGGUGCAAUGAUGCCUUGCCCGCAUGCUCCUAACUUCCCAAUGCUCUGGAGAGUAAACAACAGAAAGAAUGAGUGAAGGUUAAAUCAAUUCCUCAGAAGCCCAUUUAUAAAACUCACAAAACAUAAAUGACUCGCACUUUAAGACAGAACGUAUAAAUUUUGACACUGGGUAAUUAGUUAUGUUGGACAUCUUUUCAUGGGUGUAUUUUACAUUCUAUCUCAUUAUUAAAGUCCAGCUUGGAGCAAAAACUCAAAUUGAAGUAAACUGAAAUCCCUCACUGAGAAUAUAUUAACCUUCGCUGAACAUCUGUGAGCUACUUAGCGAUGCUAUGGUGGAUGAAUUUCACAGAUAAUCAAAUUGGAUAUUCAUCAUCAAGCCUCAUGGCUGGGUUUCACUAAUUGAAUUAUUUUAUAAGAAUGACAAAACAAUGUAUUUCCCUGGUUUUUAAGUGGGUGGUAGUGAAAAAUGACUUUACCAAAUACCCAUUUUUGUGUGGUCUUAAUCUGGUAGCGAGAAAAAGGCAGGCAGAAACAAGAAACAGGUGCAGACAACCCUUCUAUCAUCUGGUGAAUUAUUUUAGACAAUGGUAAGGUCAAAAGAGGUUGGUAUCUUAAGGCAAAAGAAAAAUUAAAUUAUUUGAAGUCAUGUGUGUCUGUAUGUGGGUAUGAUCAUGUGAGUGCAGGUAUCCUCAGAGGUCAAAGAGUGCAUCGGAUUCCAGAACUGGAUGGAGUUAUAGACAGUUAUGCGGUCCCCACUUUGUGCUGGAAGCUGCAUGUGCAUCCUCUGCAGCAGAAGUACAUGCUCUUACCUGCUAACUGAACUAUCUCUUCAGGCCCAAGGUUGGUAUCUUGUGUCUGUAGAGUGAUUUUUCUUUUUAAGUAACUUGCUUUCUAUACUAAGAUUUUUUUCAGGUAUUGUAUCAUUAGAAACUUCAAACAUACAGAAGAACACGAGACUGUGAACAGUCAUAUACACACCAACCACCCUGACUGUAUAAGUAUACUCUCUUGUUUUCUGCUUGCAUUUAUGUGCAUAUCCACCCCCUACUCACCCAUCAAUCUCUCUACUUUUGUAUGCAUUUCAAAGUGAGUUACAGACAUCAACAUACUCCAUCCCUGAGGAUGUGCCUGCUACAUUCAAAGUUUCCAGUGCUUUCCUUUAAGCAAAGUUUGAACAGGACAUAGAGGUUUUUGCUUGUUUUUUGUUUUUUUUUUUUUUUUGUUGGUUGGUUUGUUUUUUAAAGAACGCACACUUCUGUUUUCUUGUGGCACAAAGUGUCCCUAGUAUAUAUAAAGAACGCCUGGUGCAAUCUUCAGGAGCCUGCAUUUUGACAUUGGAGGGCAAAAAUCCCGCGGUUUCUGAUAAAGGGAAACGAGUUACAGUAGCAGGAUGUGUGUGGACCUUUCUCCAGCCUCAGCUUCCAUUCCCAGGCCAGGCUUCAUCCACCCAAGGAUGACUGGCAAUCGCAGGGAACACUGGCAAUGCACCACCCUCGCACUCCUGUACUGGGGAGGAAGAGGUGUAAGGUACACAUCCGCAGUUCUCAGGGCUGUUCUUGCUCCGGACCAGAGAUGCCCCCUUUCCCACUGGUCCAUGGGAAGGAACCCAUGACUCCUGGAACCAUCAACAGCUGUCCUGCUUCAGCUCUUUUGUUGCUUCCCUUCCUCUCUACUUUCUUCACAUCUGCCCAUUCUGCCUUCUCAGAACUCCUGUUUCCUCUCCAGAUACAGGAGAACAAACGUACCCAUUUCCCCCCAAGCCAUUCUGUUUUAUGAAUGUCACAGAAAUGGUUACAGGAGACAAAAAUGACAGAUUAAAGCAUCACCUGACUUCGAAAAGGGAUUAAUUAGUUUUUCUUCAUUUAAUUAAAACAUAAAUGAUUGAGGAUUGUCCUCUCAAGACCUCAUUACUCAUUCGUGUAUUCACUCCUCUGUGUCCUGAAGUGGCGCCACACUCCUCAGAAACCUGUGUUAGUGUAGUCCCGAAAGGGAGGCUUUUCCUGAGCUUCCCCCAUCUGCCGAGUUUCCUAGGUGCCAGCUUCUGCGGCUAGCUAUGGUCCAAAGCAUUUCUAUUCAGGAGCAACACAGUCACAUGGUCCUGUCCCUUGCCUCUUAGGGAUAAGAAGGCUCCCAAAGCCUCCCAUUCCAAGUUUGUCACAACACGAGCAUGUCGCUGGCUUUUGGGCAUGUCCCUCAGGCCAGUGCUGUUCCUUGGGCUCAGUAUGCCCUAAGAUUCUUUAGAUAACUAACUUGGGUCUAUGAUUGCCUGAACACUGCCUUCUCCCCUUGUUCUUUUGAAGUGUUCAUUUUCCUGUUCCUCUGAAGUGUUGUUUGGAUAUGACAUGCUGAGAAGGAUCUUAGACUCUGCAGCCACUCAAGCAUAGAUUACCAUCCCAGGUCUGCCACUUGCUCCCGCCAAGUUCAAUUUGACCUCUGUUAAACCCUGCUAUGAUUACUGACAUUUAAGUGAGUUUCUAAUUAACAGUCAGCAUAUAUUUGUGCCAGUCUCAUAUCCACAGAAGGUACUGACACCCAAGAACUCAGUUGGGUCACCUGAUAGACCCCAGAGACUGCUCUUUCUCUCCCAAUGUUGAGAUUUGCUUAUCCUAGUGAACUUCCCACUAAUUCUUUCUUUUUUCUAAGGUCUUAAAUGACGAGCUUGGUGGGGAGCCCAGUAAAUGAUUAAGUUCUUCUAGGUAAGUGUCCCAAAUCCAAAUGUGUGCAUGUGCAUUGCAAGCCAGAGGUCAACUUCUGAUGUCACUCCUUGGGUGCUCUCUGUCUUUUCUUGUUUUUGUCUUUUGAGACAAGGCCUCUCACUGGGCUUGAAGCUGGCCAGUUGGCUUAGGUUGGCGGGCCAGUGAGUCCCAGAGAUCUGCUUGUCUCUGCCUCCUAAGUUCUGGGAUUUGUCCAUCUCUUCCCUUCCCUGCCCUGUCUUUCCUUUCUCUUCCAUUCCUUUCUUUUCCCAUCCCUUUCUUUUCUUUAUUUACCUCCUACCUUCCCUUCUCACUAACGCUGGCUGUCUCUGUUUCUCUUCCAGGUAUUGAACCUAUAGCCUACCUACUAGGCAAGUGUUUUAAAACCACUGAGCAGCGCCUGGCGUUGGUGGCGCACGCCUUUAAUCCCAGCACUUGGGAGGCAGAGGCAGGCGGAUCUCUGUGAGUUCGAGGCCAGCCUGGUCUACAGAGACCUCAGUGGAGCUAUAGAUCUGCACCCUGGAUGUCUUGGUCCCAGAGACAGGGCAACAGGCUCUUGCUAUCAAAAGUAUGUUCUUGGGAGGACCAGUGAUGGGAAUGUCCUACAGGAAGUCACAGGCAGGAUGGAGGCGAUAAAGGCUUUGAACUUGCACAGGGUCUGGGAUGUUUGGAGACUGGGAAGAAGGUUUGGUUCCUCACAAGGCUAGGAUAACAGAACCUUAGUGGGAGACUCUGAGGAUACCUGAAGACCCUGCAUGCCCGUGGAUCAAGGAGGUGUGGAGACCAGCAGAGGGGAUGGCUGUGAUCAUAUGCACAUAGAAACCAACUGGAAACCAUCUUACUUAAGUGGGUAUAUGGGCUAUUUCCCACAACCCUGAGGGAUGGGGGAAGAAAACUCAUGGGUAGAAACAACAAGAAAAGAGUGGGCAGCAAACCUUCACCUGCUUGUUUCCGUAGGAUACAUUCCAACAAACAAAAUGAACUUAAGAUUCAGAAAGACUUAAGGCGUUCUGUGUGUACAUUCUGUGUAUUUGUAUUUUUCAAGUCUAUGCUACAUCUAUUUAUCUCUGACAAAAUGUUAUUAGGGAAAGGCAGGAGAGAAAAAUUAGCCAAGCUAAUUGAUCAUUAAGUAUAAUCGUCCAUUAAGUACAAAUUUCCAUUUAUAAUCUAUUUCAUCCCAGAGGAUUUCAAUUAUUAGAUUGCUUUAUUGAUACGCUGAGGAGGUAAUCAUUAAGUGUGUAAACAAACAAUAUAAAUUUCCACAUGAGAAAGAGAAGAAUGUUUAUCAGUUAUGCAUAUUGUCAGGAAAUUAUCUAGAAGGGUGAAGAUAGGUACUAGAAGAGACAGCGGUGAGUCUCAUCUCAAAACCUAUCUCCCACCUCUUGGUGACUCCUCAAUAGUUUCAAGACAUAACCCAAUUUUGUGGCCAAUGGUUCAGUUGUAUGAACUUGGGAAAGUGGCUUGACUUCUGGGAAGCUCCAAUUCCUACUUCGUAAACAGUGGGUAAUGUUGAGACUCAUUUUGGUGAGUUUCUGGCAGAAAUAAAAGAAUUAAGCUUGAAACCUUCUAGAAACAUUCCUGAUGACCCAUGAGCCUGGGAACAUCUUUCAAGAGCAUGAAGCACAAUAUCCAGCCUCUGGUCUUACUCUCCAAUACCACUUCACCCUAUCCCUUCAUCAGAGGUAGGCCCGAUCUGACAUGAUGGUCUUGUCACACUCUCAGCUCCCAUGGUCUUAUUUUUCCUGCCCUCCCCAGGCUUCUUUUCUAUCUGGAAUGAGGGUCCCACUCUUUUCUUGCCGAAUGCUUCUCCUGGAGAAGUAAUAAGGAUUGUUAAUCCCUGCUUCUAUUUUAUUCUUUGUCUUGGCAGACCAGCUUUGGUAAGAAGAUAAUGACUUUCUUUGCAGAACCUUCAGUCUGAGCUGGACACAUCUCUCAAGGGCACUUGUGAUAAUUAGCCGAGUAUCUCAAUUGCUCCACCAUAGGAAAGAUCCUGAGGUCAGGGAGCAUGCACAUUUAUUGUAUCUGUCGAUCCUUGUCCACUGUGGCCAUCUUAGGUACUCAAUAAUGAUUUACUUUCAUUAUGUUUUGUUUCUUGGUGCUGGGGAUUAAACCCAGGGCCCUUACAUGAUAGAUAAGAUAAGCACUCACCACUGAGCUACCAUCCCAGACUCAACCAUCAUCUCCUAAAUGACUUCACUUGACAUAGCUUAUUGUGGAAUCAGGGGACCAGACAUCUCAUCUUAGCUUUGUUUCAAGCCUUCUGCCUACAUUUCAUUAGACUUACAUGGCACCAACAAGCCAGAACUAGUGACACUUUCACAGGUGCUUAUGAAUUGUAGUCUAAAAAUGAUUCCAUGUGGUACCCAGGAUAGGUCUUUCUGAUAAGGUCAGCAAGAUACUGAGCAAAAAAUAUGACAUUCAAAGUGGGGCAGGUCCCUCUCAGCUUUGCAGAUGAGCUGUGUGACUUGUUUGCUGUCUCUGAGUCUCAUUCAUUAAUUUAAAAAUGUAUCUAAGGGCUGGAAAGAUGGCUCAGUUAGUAAAAUGCUUGUGGAGCAAGUGUGAGAAUCUAGUUUAAUUCUCAGGACCCAUGUGAAAAAUCUGGGCAGGGUGUAAUGUGACUGUAAUCUCACAACUGAAACAGAGAUAGGGGCAUUCUGACUAGCCAGAGUAGCCUACUUAGCAACUUCAAGACCAGCGAAAGACCCUGUCUUAGAAAACAAAAGGCAGACAGAGUCUAAGGUAGAGCAUACUAAUUUGUUCUCUGGCCUCCAAAAGUAUUGUAUUCAGGCAUUCCUCCACCCCUCCCCUUAUAGACACAUACAGGGAAGCACAUGAAUAUACAUACAUACAUACAUACACAACUGUAGCUAGCUGCAGCUACCUUGUAAUGUGAGGAUGUUUCACCAAAACCCAGAUUUACAAUAUUCCAAUACUUUGAACAUUAGCUCCUAAGUACAUGCUCAAUAAAAAUCUGAUGACCAUGUGAAACAAACUAAAGACUAUUGAUAUAUGUGUCCCAGAGUUGCUAGCUAUCAAAACUCCACAGAAGAAGCAGAUGCUUUUAGGUUUCCUUCAGUGAAUCUCUAAGUAUAAUAAGAAAAAAAUGGGAUGGAGAGAUAGCUCAGUAGGCUAAGGUGCUUGUCGUUAAACCUGAUGGCUUGACUCCCAUCCUAGGAUCUACAUAAUGGAAGGAGUGAAUCAAUUCCAAGAAGUUCUGCAAGUUGUCCUCUGCCUCUGCAUUCAUAUUGUGGUACACACAGGGUCUGAGAACAUAAAUCUUCAUGUUCCCUGCUUCCUGUGUACCUGAAAGUGAGGACAAGAAAACUAAGGGCACCCAUUGUUCAGCAGCUACUGAAGGUGAUGGAGGCAGGGCUAUGGGUUCUCAUAGUAGUAGACUAUUACUUUCUCUUUCUUCUAUCAAGUGCUCAUGUUGUGCCUGGAGUGGUGGCACCAGUGUCCAAUCGCAAGGAGAAGACCAUAGUGCCCAAGGCCACUGGCUCCCAUUAUUUAUUGCUGUUUUUGCAUGUGCAUGUGGUGUAUAAGCGUGUGUGUAUGUGUGUUUAUGUUUGUGGAUACACAUUGUGCGAAGGUAUGUGUGGAAACCAAAGGUUGCUCCAGGGAUCCCCUGUCUCCACCUCUCUAGCACAGGGACACAGGCAGGCCACUGUGCUUGUAUGACAUUGGGAUGCUGAAGUGUGGCAGGCACUUUUCCUAUCGAACCAUUUCCCCAACUUCCAUGACCUUAAAUGUUGAGUUCCUUAACCACUACUGGUAGCUACUAGCUUCUAAACUCCUGAGAGAAAUCUAUCCCUACUCUGUUAGACCACUUUUGGUGGAUUUUAUUUUGUUUGAAGUUGACCUCAAAGAAUCUUGAGUUCACCCCAAAGAUUUCAUGUAACAGAAAAUACAUCAAUCUAAUUAACUGCAGCAAAUGAGUCACUGUCCUAUUUUGUAAGUUUCUUCCAACAGCAUGAAGUCAACCUCUUGAUGACAAUGGUUCCUUUGUUGCCUUUCUCUACUAAUUCUUUGUCAACCUCCUCUCUAUCCCAUUCCUAAGUCUCUAAGUCUGCUUUUAUCAUCUUCUCAUUGUCGUUAUUAUUAUUAUUAAUCUCACAGAGUCCAAGUUGGCUACAAACUGGCUAUUUAGCUGAGAAUGAUUUUGAACUGCCAAUCCUGCCUCAUUCUCCAGGAAUUUGUUUGCGCCACCAUGCCUAGUUUCAUGCGUUGCUAGAGAUGAUAUCCAGGGCCUCAUGCAUGCUACACGAGCCCUACCAACUGAGGCCCAGUCCUUCUCAAGUCUGAUUUAUUCUUAAGGACACACACCUGUCUGUCACUUUUUCUGUAAGCUGUGCCCUGAACCACAGUUCUCCAAUAGGACAUUUCUCUGAUUGGUCACUGUUUAGACUUUCUCAUGAAGUUGCUUUGUCUGUCUCUUUCAAUGUAUCAACACUUAUCUCAGUUUGUGUGUGUGUGUGUGUGUGUGUGUGUGUGUGUGUGUGUGUAGGCAGUGAUAACAUUAUUUCUCUUGGUUUGAUAUUAGUUUGAGAAUUAGGGGGGUCAUUGGAUUCUCCUGUUUUAACGUCUUCACAAAACAAAUGAUUGAGUUACAGUUUAAGUAAUCUGCUUCUACAUGCCAGUAACCCUGCAGAAAGAGAGAUAAAUACCGAGUGGGACAGAGACACUGCAUUAGUAGCCAUGGCCACUUAGUAAAAGCUCUUCAGCUUGAUUAUGGCUAUUCCAGGUGAGCAUGGACCAUCUAUGGAUAAGGAGCUGCUUCUAUCCAGUUCUGCAAAAAAAAUUUAAAGUAAGACUCAGGACUAAACACAAGUCAAUUAUAAAUGCUUAUUGCUCUUUCAGGGAGUUCAGUUCCCAGCACUCAUGUUUUCUGGAGAUCUGAUAACCUCCUCAGGUAUACACACACACACACACACACACACACACACACACACCAAUCAAACUCAAUUUCUCUUAGCAAACAAAAUUAUCCUUGGAAAUAACUUCUCAAGCCAGACAUAGUAAGGUCGUGUCUGUCAUCCCAGCUCUCAGGAGGGUGAAGCAGAAGGGCUGUUGUUAAGUUUGAGGUCAACAUGGGUUAUAUAAUGAGUUCUAGCCCAGUCUGGGCUACAGUAUAAAAGACUUUGCCUUCCACUCCUACCCAAUCACCACCAAAGAAAGAAACUAAAUUGCUGCUAAAUAAAAUAAGAUGGUUGAGUUUUGUUUUCUCUAAGGUCAGUCUAAUAUCUUUCUUGAAAAAAAAUGGCUACUUUGGGAGCUGCUACAGAGAGCAUAUGUAUACAGGAGACUAGGGGAAAGAUCAUGGAAUGCAGAAGUCAUGGAAACAGCAUGGAAGCCAUCCUGAAUGGCUUGCACCUGGCCAAAGCCAGGCCAAUUUGAGCAUUGUGAUAUAUUAUUUCAUUAAUAAUUUAAUUCAACCACUAAAGCAGGGAGUCCUGAAUCAUUACCCAGGAUAAACAAACUGAGAAAUUUGAGUCAUCAAGGUAUUACUCCUCCAUAUACUUAAGCCACAGAGAAGUGUUCUGCCUACAUUUAUGUCAAAUGACAGAAACUGUAGUCAUCUGAGAGGAGUAAACCUCAACUAAGAAAAAUGCCUCCAUAAGACUGGGCUGUGGGCCAGCCUGUAAAGCAUUUCCUUAAUUAGCAAUUGGUGGGGGAGGGCUUAUCCCAUUGUAGAUGAUACCAUCCCUGGCUGUGGUCCUGUGUUCUAUAAGAAAACAGGCUGAGCAAGACAUGUAGGGCAAACCAGUAAGCAGUACUCUUCCAUGCUUCUGCAUCAGCUUCUGCCUCCAGGUUCCUGCCCUGUUUGAGUUCCUGUGCUAACUUCUUUUGAUGAUAAGCAGUGAUAUGGAAGUAUAAGACAAAUAAACCCUUUCCCCUCCAACUUACUUUUGGUCAUGCUGUUUCAGUGCAGCAACAGAAACCCUAGGUAAGAUAGGAGGGGAGAGGAAUAACUGUGCAGUGAGCAGCCUGGCAGACCCUGACUUUGGAAAUGGACCUGAAUUUCAUGGGAGCGUGGGGAUGAAGAUACCUGAAUUUCAUGGGGGGGGGGAGUAUAAGCAUAACAGCAGUCCUGUGGUUAUUCCUACCUGUGAUGCCUAGCAAACAAGGAAGACCUAUAUGGGGAACUCACUUACACUCUGCAAGUAUGUCAAGCUCAUGGAGUAAUGACGGGGAAGGUCCUUCUGUGUAUAUGUUGUCUUAUUGGUUGAUAAAUAAAGCACUGUUGGCCAAUAGGGAAGCAAGAUAUGUGGAACUAGGGAUCAGGGAGGAUUCUGGGAAAUAUAGUGAAGAGGAGAGAGUCACCAUGUGAUUCUGGAAGGAGAGGAUACGUCAGGAUGGUAUGCUCAGAAAGAUAAGUCCUUAUAAAAUAUAUAUUAGUAAUAAUGGGUUAAUAAUUAAGUCAGAGCUAGCCAAUAAGAAAAUGGCCAACAGUAUCAUAAUUAAUAAAGUGUCUCUGUGUUAUUUGGGGGCUGAGACAGCAGCGGGACCCAGGAAGCUGGCAGGAAAGAAUGCUCAUUACAGAGUAAGGCUGAGCUAGUUUCCUACAGAAAAAAGGUGAAGAGUAUGAUGAUAUCUUGACACUGAUGGGGUUAGCCUGCCCUCCUCCAUCCCAGUGCUAGUUUUCCUUGACACUAUAGGGAUGUGGGAUUCUGUGUACUGGAUUUUCUUGUCAUAAGUCCAUUUCUGAGACAACUGGUACAAUUUUAAUCUCCCUCCCCUGAAAUGAUUUGAGGAUAGCAAUAUACCCAGUGUUAGCUUUUGGACUUUGAUGGUUGUGUUGUGGUUUUAUAGAAGAAAGUCCCUUGACGAUAGGAAAAUGCACACUACAAUAUUCUAGGUGAUGGGUCAACAGGCCACAAACAUACUAUACUAAAGGAACUAUACACCAAUUCCAACAUCUCUGCAAAUUUGUGAUAAUUUUGAAAGUUGAGUAUGGAGCUGAGUGUAACGGUUCACUUUUGUAAUCCUAGCACUUGGGAAGCUGAUAUAGGAAAACUGUCCAAGUUCGAAACCAGCCUGGCCUAGCUAUGUAGUAAAACUCUGUCUUCUCAAAGCAGACAAAAUCUCCCAAACAAACCUUAAUCCCCAAAGAUUUUAGAGAUAGUAUCCAAGCAAACAAUCAUUUAAAAAAUGUUACCUAACCUAGAAUUUAAAAGGGAAUUAGUUUAUUUUAUUUCAUGUAUAUGUGUUUUUCUUGCAUAUGUAUAUACCAGUUGCUUGAAGAGGCUCUGGCAUAGGAUCCCUUGGAACUAGAGUUACAAGCAAUUUUGAGCCACCACAUGGGUGCUUGGAAAUAAACCUGGGUCCUCUGUAAGAACACUGAGUGCUCUUCUUAACCAAUGAGCCAUCCCCCUUCUCUCCCCUCAGUAAUUCUUAAAAGCAAAACCAACAAUCUUCCAUUAUCAAAAAUAGACAACAGCUUUGCUUCGGUGGAAUUUGCCUGAGUAUUAUUAUCACCACCAUGGGGCACGAAAUGUGGGUGCCACCCACGUUCAGGGUGGGUCGUCUUCCCUCAGCUAUCCUUUCUGGAAUACCUACAGACACACCCAAAGGUGCACCUUAGGAAUGCCCAGGGUAUUUCUUAUCCAAUCAAAUCGACAGUCAAAUUAGUGAUGCAUUGCAUUUUAUACAGAAAUCUUGCCUUGGGCAUGUAGCUUAGUUGGGAGAGUACUUGUCACAUGGCUAUGGAUUCAAGUGCCAGUUCUGCCUAAACCAGGAGUGGUGACUGUACCUAUAAUCACAGCACUUGGGCAGUGAAGAAAGAAAGCUCAGGAGUUGAAAGUCACUAGUUAGUGAGUUUGAAACCAGAUGGAGCCACAUGAGACCCUCAAACAAAAUUUAAGCAAAAGAAAUCUUGCCCAGCUUUUGUUGCACCAGCUGACAUCUCUGCUGACCCCUCUGUCUGGAUCAUUUCUCUCUCAUGAUAGUGUUAGUCUUUCUCUUUCCGCCCCCAUGGUGGUUUCCUUGAUACCGAAAGGGAAACUCCCUCAGACCCUUGAUUCAGAAUCCAGUUCUGUUUAGUACUGGGUCCAUAUAAACUUCGGGCUCAUGUGAGUGCAUGUGAACUUGUAUGAGCAGGAGGGAACAUUUUAGAGCAGCUUCCUGGGAGGCAGCCAGGUUAUAGAAGACCCUUGGGCUUUGGUAGCAUGCUGAACACUUGUGUGUGCUCUUGGGCAAGCCGCUUGACUGCUGUGUAUCUCUUACUUGUGGAACGUGGAAAGUGUGUCACACAAGCAACGAGAUGUGUUGUGUAGAAUGUCAGAAGCUUCUUAUACACGAGGAGCCUAAGUCUGCACCAAACACCUUGAGGUGACGGGUGUGUCACUGCCCCCAGAACAGGAUGCACUGAGUAUCUCUAGUCACAGCCACAUUGACAAAUUUCUUCAUGCUCAGUGAGAAGUUUGAUAUUGCGUCAUUUAGGAUGGUGCAUGCAAUUCAACAGUAACAACCAACUCCGCAUCUCAGCAGCUUUUAGAGCAACCAAGAGUCCAUUAUUAUUAUUUUCUUCAAGCAAAGACCUCCGCAGGCCUCUGUGACCUUUCAGGAAGGUUUCCCUUUGGGAUAGUUCAGCCUUCUUCCUUAGACAGGAUUUUAUGUUGCUGAGGCAGGAAGAAAGGGGUGCAGCUGAGCUAGAGUGAUUAGAUGUUCAAGUCAGAUAGGAAGCUCAAUUUUCCUCACAUUUCAUUGGCAAAGACCAGUCCUGUGGCCUUAUUUCAAUGCAUGAAGCUAAAGUAAUGUAAUCCCUUGAAUUUCUAAAAAGUAAAUAGUGAAUGAGAACACUGAUGUCUCUCUGUCUACUGGGAGGGGGAGUUCUAAUCAAGUGUUAUUAGAAUGGUCAAGUUGGUAAGCUACACAAAAACUUUAGUGUCAUUCCAGUGAUGUCUAUGAAUGUUUCCUCUUUGAAACAAGAGUGUAGUUAUAUAUAUCACAUUUAACCUGCUUUCUCUUCCCCAUUUUUCAUCAUUCUUGCAGUUUUAUGAGUCAGAGAAGUGGCAUUGAAUCACACAAAGCAUAUACUAAGUGCUUACCACACACUGAUGGAUGAAGACCACUGUACAGAAACUACAUUUGAAAAGGCAACGGAUUGAUAGAUCCAAAGUCACAAGGCUGUGAUGGAGCCAGAAAAGGCAUUUUCCUGCGUCCUGCCAUUAGCCACAAGAGUGCUUUUAUUACUUCCUUGAGAAAAGUUGGCCCCAGCAGAGUUUUUUAUGUCUGUUGGCAGUUUCCAAAGGUGAUUGCCGUCUUCAGCCUUGGACUCUAUUCAUGCCCAGAAUGUUCUGCACAGUCAUAGGGCAAAACAAUGUCCGGCACAAUUAGAGGUAGUAACUUAACUAAUUAUUCCACAGUGAGCCUCCCAACAGAGAAAAUACAAAGUCACCACUCAGAUGCUACUGCUUCUUAGUUUUGUUUCCUGUUGCUGUGAUAAAAGACCCCAACAAAAGGAACUUUCGAGAGAACGGACUCAUUUGGCUCACAGUUCCAGGAUAUGGUCUAUUAUUGUGGGGAAGUUAAGGCAGCAGGAACAGGAAGCAGAUAAUAACAUAAUAUCCACAGUCAAGAGCCGAGAGCAGUGAAUUAAGGCAAGUGUGUUAGUGCUCAAGCUUGCUUUCUUCAUUCUUACACAGUCCAAGAUGCCCUGCCUAGGGAAUGGUGCCUCCCACAGCAGGUGGCUCUUCCAACUCCCAUUAAUGUAAUCAAGGCAAUUGUCCUCAUUCAUGCCUACAGGCCAACCUGAUCCAGACAAUUCUUUCACUGAGAUUUUUUUUCUCAAGUGAUUUUAGAUUGUGGCAAGCUGACCACUAAAACUGACCAUCAUGCCAGGUGGUGCGGGCACAUGUUUUUAAUCCCAGCACUCAGGAGGCAGAGGUAGGCAGAUCUCUGUGAGUUGGAGGCCAGCAAGGUCUACAGAGUUGAGUUCUAGAACAGCCGGGCUGUUACACAGAGAAACCCUGUCUCAAAAAAACAAAAACCAAAGCAAAACAAAAAACUGACCCUCACAUACUCAGUAAAGUUACUAAGCUCCAGUCAGAAUUAAUGGUCAUUCACAUUAACAGCUUGCCUGGUGGCUGUUUAGGAGGAGAAAGGGGACUGGAAAGAGGGGGAUAUUGAUACCAGAAA
This is a long non-coding RNA of Mesocricetus auratus (golden hamster), 15794 nucleotides long. RefSeq lists it as uncharacterized. The transcript is spliced from 4 exons. The record is from RefSeq and is a predicted model, not a curated record. NCBI's taxonomy places the organism in Eukaryota, Metazoa, Chordata, Mammalia, Rodentia, Cricetidae.